AAUCAACGCUGGCGGCGCGCUUAACACAUGCAAGUCGAACGAGAAAGCGGGGGCAACCUCGUAAGUAAAGUGGCGUACGGGUGAGUAACACGUGGGUAAUCUACCUCUUAGUGGGGAAUAACGCUGGGAAACCGGCGCUAAUACCGCAUAAUCCCGGGAGGGGAAAGCAGCAAUGCGCUGAGAGAGGAGCCCGCGGCCGAUUAGCUCGUUGGUGAGGUAAAGGCUCACCAAGGCAAAGAUCGGUAGCCGGCCUGAGAGGGCACACGGCCACACUGGCACUGAAACACGGGCCAGACUCCUACGGGAAGCAGCAGUGGGGAAUCUUGCACAAUGGGGGAAACCCUGAUGCAGCGACGCCGCGUGAGCGAUGAAGCCCUUCGGGGUGUAAAGCUCUUUCGGCAGGGACGAAACAUGACGGUACCUGCAGAAGCAGCUGCGGCUAACUACGUGCCAGCAGCCGCGGUAAUACGUAGGCAGCGAGCGUUGUUCGGAGUUGCUGGGCGUAAAGGGUGCGUAGGCGGUCCCUUAAGUUUGGUGUGAAAUCUCCCGGCUCAACUGGGAGGGUGCGCCGGAUACUGAGGGGCUAGAGUGCGGGAGAGGAAAGUGGAAUUCCUGGUGUAGCGGUGAAAUGCGUAGAUAUCAGGAGGAACACCGGUGGUGUAAACGGCUUUCUGGACCGUAACUGACGCUGAGGCACGAAAGCGUGGGGAGCAAACAGGAUUAGAUACCCUGGUAGUCCACGCCCUAAACGAUGCACGUUUGGUGUGGGUGAUUCAGUUCAUCCGUGCCGGAGCUAACGCGUUAAACGUGCCGCCUGGGGAGUACAGUCGCAAGGCUGA
Molecule: ribosomal RNA, 839 nt
Filed under: uncultured Acidobacteriota bacterium
Lineage: Bacteria; Pseudomonadati; Acidobacteriota
Description: bacterial SSU rRNA
Rfam family: Bacterial small subunit ribosomal RNA
Source: RNAcentral